RNAcentral lists this ribosomal RNA (1945 nucleotides) under human oral metagenome. Its description in RNAcentral is "bacterial LSU rRNA". It matches the Rfam family "Bacterial large subunit ribosomal RNA", at positions 3 to 1999 of the family's 2925-position model. The record is from RNAcentral.
UCAAGUGAAUAAGUGCAUGUGGUGGAUGCCUUGGCGAUUACAGGCGAUGAAGGACGUUGUAGCCUGCGAUAAGCCGCGGGGAGCUGGCAAACAAGCUUUGAUCCGCGGAUGUCCGAAUGGGGAAACCCACCCGCAAGGGUAUCGCUGACUGAAUCCAUAGGUCAGCGAGGCGAACGUGGCGAACUGAAACAUCUAAGUAGCCACAGGAAAAGAAAUCAACCGAGAUUCCGAAAGUAGUGGCGAGCGAAAUCGGAGCAGCCUGUGCGUGAUAGUCGAUUGGCUAGUGGAACGGUAUGGAAAGGCCGGCCAUAGAGGGUGAUAGCCCCUUACACGAAAGCGAAUCGGUGGUACUGAGCGUACGACAAGUAGGGCGGGACACGUGUAAUCCUGUCUGAAGAUGGGGGGACCAUCCUCCAAGGCUAAAUACUCGUAAUCGACCGAUAGUGAACAAGUACUGUGAAGGAAAGGCGAAAAGAACCCCGGGAGGGGAGUGAAAUAGAUCCUGAAACCGCAUGCAUACAAACAGUCGGAGCCUCGCAAGGGGUGACGGCGUACCUUUUGUAUAAUGGGUCAGCGACUUACAUUCAGUGGCAAGCUUAACCAGAUAGGGGAGGCGCAGGGAAACCGAGUCCGAACAGGGCGCCAUAGUCGCUGGGUGUAGACCCGAAACCAGGUGAUCUAUCCAUGGUCAGGAUGAAGGUUGGGUAACACCAGCUGGAGGUCCGAACCGACUAAUGUUGCAAAAUUAGCGGAUGAACUGUGGAUAGGGGUGAAAGGCUAAUCAAACCUGGAAAUAGCUGGUUCUCCCCGAAAACUAUUUAGGUAGUGCGUCAUGUAUUGCUCCAGGGGGUAGAGCACUGUAAUGGUUGUGGGGGCCAUCGCGGCUUACCACGCCAUAGCAAACUCCGAAUACCUGGAAGUAUGAGCAUGGCAGACAGUCGCCGGGUGCUAACGUCCGGCGGCAAGAGGGAAACAACCCAGACCUACAGCUAAGGUCCCAAAGUGUGGCUAAGUGGGAAACGAAGUGGGAAGGCUAAAACAGUCAGGAUGUUGGCUUAGAAGCAGCCAUCAUUUAAAGAAAGCGUAAUAGCUCACUGAUCGAGUCGUCCUGCGCGGAAGAUGUAACGGGGCUAAGCCAUGCACCGAAGCUUAGGCUGCACUCUUUGAGUGCGGGGUAGGGGAGCGUUCUGUAAGCCUGUGAAGGUGUCUCGUAAGGGAUGCUGGAGGUAUCAGAAGUGCGAAUGCUGACAUGAGUAGCGUUAAAGCGGGUGAAAAGCCCGCUCGCCGUAAGCGCAAGGUUUCCUACGCAACGUUCAUCGGCGUAGGGUGAGUCGGCCCCUAAGGUGAGGGCGAAAGCCAUAGCUGAUGGGAAGCUGGUUAAUAUUCCAGCACCGAUUUCUAGUGCGAUGGGGGGACGGAUCGUGGAAGGUUGUCCGGGUGUUGGAAGUCCCGGUUCCUGACCUGUAGGUGUCUGGUAGGUAAAUCCGCCAGGCAUAUGCCGAGGGGUUGGGACGAGCGAGCUUGCUCGCGAAGCAACUGGAAGUGGUUCCAAGAAAAGCCUCUAAGCUUCAGCUAGAAACGACCGUACCGCAAACCAACACUGGUGCGCGAGAUGAGUAUUCUCAGGCGCUUGAGAGAACUCGGGAGAAGGAACUCGGCAAAUUGACACCGUAACUUCGGAAGAAGGUGUGCCUUGGUAGCUUGAGUGUGAACAGCACAAGGGCGAAGAGGUUGCAAAGAAUAGGUGGCUGCGACUGUUUAUUAAAAACACAGCACUCUGCAAACACGAAAGUGGACGUAUAGGGUGUGACGCCUGCCCGGUGCCGGAAGGUUAAGUGAUGGGGUGCAAGCUCUUGAUCGAAGCCCCGGUAAACGGCGGCCGUAACUAUAACGGUCCUAAGGUAGCGAAAUUCCUUGUCGGGUAAGUUCCGACCUGCACGAAUGG